ACGCUCGACACCUACGAGGCAGCAGUGGGGAAUAUUGCACAAUGGGGGAAACCCUGAUGCAGCGACGCCGCGUGGAGGAAGAAGGUCUUCGGAUUGUAAACUCCUGUUGUUGGGGAAAAAGAGGAUGGUACCCAACAAGGAAGUGACGGCUAACUACGUGCCAGGAGCCGCGGUAAUCUGAGCGGGCUGGCAAGGC
RNAcentral lists this ribosomal RNA (196 nucleotides) under uncultured bacterium. RNAcentral's name for it is "partial 16S ribosomal RNA". It matches the Rfam family "Bacterial small subunit ribosomal RNA", at positions 326 to 539 of the family's 1533-position model. The record is from RNAcentral.